Molecule: transfer RNA, 74 nt
Filed under: Desulfococcus multivorans
Lineage: Bacteria; Pseudomonadati; Thermodesulfobacteriota; Desulfobacteria; Desulfobacterales; Desulfococcaceae
Description: tRNA-Arg
Source: RNAcentral
GAGGCUUUAUUGAGGUAAUAAAAAAGGGACUACGAAUCCGUAGGUCGCAAGUUCGAAUCUUGCCGGGCGCGCCA